Molecule: ribosomal RNA, 383 nt
Filed under: uncultured bacterium
Lineage: Bacteria
Description: bacterial SSU rRNA
Rfam family: Bacterial small subunit ribosomal RNA
Source: RNAcentral
GACGAACGCUGGCGGCGUGCUUAACACAUGCAAGUCGAGCGGUAAGGCCCUUUCGGGGGUACGACGAGCGGCGAACGGGUGAGUAACACGUGGGUGACCUGCCCUCAGCUCUGGGAUAAGCCUGGGAAACUAGGGUCUAAUACUGGAUAUGACUCCACGGUGCAUGUCGUGGGGUGGAAAGCCUUGUGCGGCUGAGGAUGGGCCCGCGGCCUAUCAGCUUGUUGGUGGGGUGAUGGCCUACCAAGGCGACGACGGGUAGCCGGCCUGAGAGGGCGACCGGCCACACUGGGACUGAGACACGGCCCAGACUCCUACGGGAGGGCAGCAGUGGGGAAGUCUUGCGCAAUGGGCGAAAGCCUGACGCAGCGACGCCGCGUGAGGGU